Molecule: unclassified non-coding RNA, 148 nt
Filed under: Cakile arabica
Lineage: Eukaryota; Viridiplantae; Streptophyta; Magnoliopsida; Brassicales; Brassicaceae
Description: partial external transcribed spacer
Source: RNAcentral
CCUCCCCCUAUUUUCCCAUCACUCGUUCCUCCCCAAAAAGCUACAAUACAAACUUUAAAAAAAACCCAAAAAAUUUCAAGUCUAUAAGAAAACGAUGUCAGAGGUUUGAGAUUUUUACUUGGUGAGAUUCACUCGCGCACCAGAUUUU